RNAcentral lists this ribosomal RNA (523 nucleotides) under uncultured bacterium. RNAcentral's name for it is "bacterial SSU rRNA". It matches the Rfam family "Bacterial small subunit ribosomal RNA", at positions 338 to 843 of the family's 1533-position model. The record is from RNAcentral.
CCUACGGGAGGCAGCAGUGGGGAAUAUUGGACAAUGGGCGCAAGCCUGAUCCAGCAAUGCCGCGUGUGUGAAGAAGGCCUUCGGGUUGUAAAGCACUUUUAUCAGGAGCGAAAUCUGCAGGGCUAAUACCCCAUGCAGUCUGACGGUACCUGAGGAAUAAGCACCGGCUAACUCCGUGCCAGCAGCCGCGGUAAUACGGAGGGUGCAAGCGUUAAUCGGAAUUACUGGGCGUAAAGCGUGCGUAGGCGGUUCGUUAAGUCUGUUGUGAAAGCCCCGGGCUCAACCUGGGAAUGGCAAUGGAUACUGGCGAGCUAGAGUGUGUCAGAGGAUGGUGGAAUUCCCGGUGUAGCGGUGAAAUGCGUAGAGAUCGGGAGGAACAUCAGUGGCGAAGGCGGCCAUCUGGGACAACACUGACGCUGAGGCACGAAAGCGUUGGGGAGCAAAACGAGGUAUUAGACUACCCGUGGUACGUCCACGCCCUAAACGAUGACGAACUAGUAGUGUUGGUCGUCUACGUACGAGA